CAGAACCUCUAAAUCUGCAGAGUCCAGAACUGUGGAGCCGGAAGCACAAGUUUCCAAAGUGCACCACUUGGGAUAAUGAUGCCACCGUGCUCUCAUCAGCCUCUGGCCCACCGUCUCCUUGAGGUGCUUUACGGCACUUCCGCCAUCCUGUUUGUGAA
Molecule: long non-coding RNA, 158 nt
Organism: Eubalaena glacialis (North Atlantic right whale)
Lineage: Eukaryota; Metazoa; Chordata; Mammalia; Artiodactyla; Balaenidae
Exons: 3
Source: RefSeq, a predicted model, not a curated record